CAGCAUUCAGGAGGCUCAAAUAGGAGGAUUACCAGGAACUCAAGGCUAGCCUGGGCUAGAAUGAGACCCUGCCUCACAAAGCAAAAAGCAAGCUGAGAACACACGAGAAUUGACGAGGAACUGCAGCUUGAAGAAAACUCUUAUACAUCAAUCCCUUGUACAACUUUCAUGAACAUGAUUGAAAAUUGUAAAAUACAUGAAUGUUCCUCUAAACCUUUGUGGUUUACCUGCGCUUCCAGAAUCUGUGAUCUAUUUUCAGAGUAAUAAAAAGCACUUCCUCUCCUGUCUUGCUUCUGCUACUUAUGAAACAUUUCUCAAAUCCUGUUGCCAUCUGUGUUCCAACCUGAAUCCUUCCAGUGAUGGACACUGCUCCAGAAUUUGAGAGGAGGCAGAAGAGAAACCAUUCCUCUUAGCAGCAGUGGCAGGAACCUGAGUGAUGGAUGGGAUUUUCCACUGGCUCCUUCUGAACACAAGAGAGGGCAGACUUCUCUGCUGCCACCAGUCACAGGGAUCAGUGCUGGUGGCCCUUGUGAUUCCUGCCCUUCUUAAUGUUUUGAACUCUAAAAAUAACACCUAGACUUUUGUUCCCCCCAGCCUGACUAGUUGUUGAGAAAAUUGCUAAGACUCUGUACAUGAAGCUUUGGUUUACUCCUGACUUUGGAAAAGUUAGCAAUGAAGACAAUGUUAUGUU
Long non-coding RNA from Jaculus jaculus (lesser Egyptian jerboa), 691 nucleotides. RefSeq lists it as uncharacterized. NCBI's taxonomy places the organism in Eukaryota, Metazoa, Chordata, Mammalia, Rodentia, Dipodidae. The transcript is spliced from 3 exons. The record is from RefSeq and is a predicted model, not a curated record.